AAGGCACACCGGGAGGCUGCUGGGAAACCAGAGGAAAGUCCGGGCUGCAGCAAGGCAGGGGUCAGUCUAACGGACUGCCGCCGAAAGGCGAGGGAAAGUGCCACAGAAAACAGACCGCCGAUGGAGCCUUCGGGCUCACAGGCAAGGGUGAAACGGUGAGGUAAGAGCUCACCAGAGGGUAUGGCGACAUACCCUGCUUGGUAAACCCACCCCGCAGCAAGGAGGGAUGGUAAAGCCUUGCGUCACUACCCUCCGCAUGAGCGGCACCGCAAGGUGCGCGCCGAGAUAAAUAGCCUCCGAAACAGAACCCGGCUUACUGGUGUGCCUAUUAC
Molecule: RNase P RNA, 332 nt
Filed under: Caminibacter pacificus
Lineage: Bacteria; Pseudomonadati; Campylobacterota; Epsilonproteobacteria; Nautiliales; Nautiliaceae
Description: Cetia pacifica RNase P RNA component class A
Rfam family: Bacterial RNase P class A
About the family: Ribonuclease P (RNase P) is a ubiquitous endoribonuclease, found in archaea, bacteria and eukarya as well as chloroplasts and mitochondria.
Source: RNAcentral